Molecule: non-coding RNA, 23 nt
Filed under: Cricetulus griseus (Chinese hamster)
Lineage: Eukaryota; Metazoa; Chordata; Mammalia; Rodentia; Cricetidae
Source: RNAcentral
AACUGAGACUCUAGUGUAACUUG